Long non-coding RNA from Larimichthys crocea (large yellow croaker), 150 nucleotides. RefSeq lists it as uncharacterized. The record is from RefSeq and is a predicted model, not a curated record. Lineage: Eukaryota; Metazoa; Chordata; Actinopteri; Sciaenidae. The transcript has 3 exons.
GCAAAGAGACACUGAGAGUACAGCUCUGGGAGUUUGAACUGGACGGCUAUGAUGCUGACGUCAGGCCUCUUCUUCAGCUGGUGUGGGAGGUGAACAACAGCAUGAAGAUGAGAGACAUUGAGUAUGAAGCCAGAAGGCUGCUCAGCUGUC